GCAACUCCAAUCCCUCACACCCGGCGCCCGGCCGCCCCCUUCCCCCGCGUCAAGCUCCCUCCUCUCUCCCUCCCCCUCAGUCCGCCUCCCUUCACACCGACGCAUCCUCCCGGCGGCCACCAGAUCCACCACCCGCCGGCCACCAGAUCUACCACCCGCCGGAGGCGACCUCUAGCCCGCGACGCGACGACGCCUCCUCCCGGCUGCGGAUCCGCGUGUGGAUCCAGAGGAGGCACGGCCCAAGGCGCGGAGCACAGAAUCGAGGGCUGGCGGCGCUUCUUCCUCUCCGCUCGGCGCGGAUCGAGUCCGCGGGUUCGGCUUCCUCCACCGGCAGCAGUGCGGGCUUCCUCCAACGGCGGCGGCACGGUUCGUCGCGGGCUCGCUGGAUCUGCUCAGCUGGGUUCGACCGUCGUUGGCCGCCGCCACCGCAACUUUCUCCGGAACGCGCGCUUCUAUUCAGAUCCAUGAAUAGGGCAUUCGCGUUCUUGUUCGCCGAUGGCUCCAGCGAGGAACUGAGCUCGCUGCAGGCGGAGGAACUGGCUGGGCCGGUGCCCUUCGUCAUGGCUGGCGUCAGCUAGGUGAAUGAGAUUCCUCUCCCCACGCACAGCAUUAUCACUAAGGCACUAACCCAAUGGCGUGUGCAAAUUUUGCAUCCUUAACAAAAUUUGCUUGUUACAUUCUUAGUCUUACAGAAGGUUAAAAAAAAGGUCUUAACUGUUAGCUUAUGUAUCUAGAGACGGAGUAUGUUAGCUUCUUCUAUAGGUGUAGCUACAUCAAUUAUUCUUGGAUUCGUGAAUGCAAUGCAAAUUAAAUAUGCAAAACUGUCUUGUAACUGGCAUGUGCUAACUAUAAAUUAUUUAUGCAACACAUGUGCUUUUGCUAAUUUCUGUUGAUGCCUUUAUAUUAAUAAAGACUAAGCAAAGUCUUGCUAAGGAAAGUACUGCACCAUGGUGCCCAGCAUCUGCUAUAUCUGAUGUGCCUUCUUUUGUUACAAUAUGCUAUGCUACUUCAAUUGAUAUUGGUUUUCAGGUCCAGCCGCCCUGGAUAGAAAGGUCAAAUUCAACCUUGAAGUAGUAAGCAAAUUCGAAAAAAAAAUGGAGAAUUAGAGCAGAAGAAAGCCUUGGAAUAGAAUUAGUACAGAAGAAAAUUGAGAAUUCUCUGUUCCUUUUUGUUCUGCAUGUCAACAAGUUGCUAAGAAAAACUCUUGGAUGAAAACUUGUACGUGAUGUGUCGGAAGAAACACUUUGUAUUUGAUGUAAUAUUGGAUGAAAAGUUAUUGUAUUUGAUGUAAUACUGGAUGAAAGUUAUUGUAUUUGAUGUGAUGCCAGUUCUGUUUA
This is a long non-coding RNA of Panicum virgatum (switchgrass), 1337 nucleotides long. RefSeq lists it as uncharacterized. NCBI's taxonomy places the organism in Eukaryota, Viridiplantae, Streptophyta, Magnoliopsida, Poales, Poaceae. The transcript is spliced from 3 exons. The record is from RefSeq and is a predicted model, not a curated record.